Molecule: ribosomal RNA, 468 nt
Filed under: uncultured bacterium
Lineage: Bacteria
Description: partial 16S ribosomal RNA
Rfam family: Bacterial small subunit ribosomal RNA
Source: RNAcentral
GACGAACGCUGGCGGCGUGCUUAACACAUGCAAGUCGAACGGAAAGGCCCUGCUUUUGUGGGGUGCUCGAGUGGCGAACGGGUGAGUAACACGUGAGUAACCUGCCCUUGACUUUGGGAUAACUUCAGGAAACUGGGGCUAAUACCGGAUAGGAGCUCCUGCUGCAUGGUGGGGGUUGGAAAGUUUCGGCGGUUGGGGAUGGACUCGCGGCUUAUCAGCUUGUUGGUGGGGUAGUGGCUUACCAAGGCUUUGACGGGUAGCCGGCCUGAGAGGGUGACCGGCCACAUUGGGACUGAGAUACGGCCCAGACUCCUACGGGAGGCAGCAGUGGGGAGUAUUGCACAGUGGGCGGAAGCCUGAUGCAGCGACGCCGCGUGCGGGAUGACGGCCUUCGGGUUGUAAACCGCUUUCGCCUGUGACGAAGCGUGAGUGACGGUAAUGGGUAAAGAAGCACCGGCUAACUACGUG